UACGGAGGGUGCAAGCGUUGCUCGGAAUUAUUGGGCGUAAAGAGCUCGUAGGCGGCCUGUUACGUCUGCUGUGAAAUCCCGGGGCUUAACCCCGGGCGUGCAGUGGAUACGGGCAGGCUGGGGGCAGGCAGGGGAGAACGGAAUUCCCGGUGUAGCGGUGAAAUGCGCAGAUAUCGGGAGGAACACCGGUGGCGAAGGCGGUUCUCUGGGCCUGUACUGACGCUGAGGAGCGAAAGCGUGGGGAGCGAACAGG
RNAcentral lists this ribosomal RNA (253 nucleotides) under uncultured bacterium. Its description in RNAcentral is "partial 16S ribosomal RNA". It matches the Rfam family "Bacterial small subunit ribosomal RNA", at positions 524 to 776 of the family's 1533-position model. The record is from RNAcentral.